UGAGAUGUUGGGUUAAGUCCCGUAACGAGCGCAACCCUUGUCCUUUGUUGCCAACACGUAAUGGUGGGAACUCAAAGGAGACUGCCGGUGACAAACCGGAGGAAGGUGGGGACGACGUCAAGUCAUCAUGGCCCUUACGUCCUGGGCUACACACGUGCUACAAUGGUUGGUACAGACGGUCGCUAAGCCGCGAGGUGGAGCUAAUCCGAGAAAACCAAUCGUAGUCCGGAUUGGAGUCUGCAACUCGACUCCAUGAAGUCGGAAUCGCUAGUAAUCGUGAAUCAGAAUGUCACGGUGAAUACGUUCCCGGGCCUUGUACACACCGCCCGUCACACCAUGGGAGUGGGUUGCUCCAGAAGUGGCUAGUCUAACCUUCGGGGGGACGGUCACCACGGAGUGAUUCAUGACUGGGGUGAAGUCGUAACAAGGUAACCGU
Molecule: ribosomal RNA, 436 nt
Filed under: uncultured Microbulbifer sp.
Lineage: Bacteria; Pseudomonadati; Pseudomonadota; Gammaproteobacteria; Cellvibrionales; Microbulbiferaceae
Description: bacterial SSU rRNA
Rfam family: Bacterial small subunit ribosomal RNA
Source: RNAcentral